Molecule: transfer RNA, 73 nt
Organism: Operophtera brumata (winter moth)
Lineage: Eukaryota; Metazoa; Arthropoda; Insecta; Lepidoptera; Geometridae
Rfam family: tRNA
About the family: Transfer RNA (tRNA) molecules are approximately 80 nucleotides in length. Their secondary structure includes four short double-helical elements and three loops (D, anti-codon, and T loops).
Source: Rfam
UGUUCUAUGGCCGAACUGGUGAAGGCAUCGCCGAUUACAGGCGAAAAUACGGGUUCGACUCCCGCUGGAACGG